GAAAUGCGAUAAGUAAUGUGAAUUGCAGAAUUCAGUGAAUCAUAGAAUCUUUGAACGCACCUUGCGCUCCUUGGUAUUCCUUGGAGCAUGCCUGUUUGAGUAUCAUGAAAUCUUCAAAGUAAAUCUUUUGUUAACUCAAUUGGUUUCUACUUUGGUAUUGGAGGUCUUUGCAGCUUCACACCUGCUCCUCUUUGUUCAUUAGCUGGAUCUCAGUGUUAUGCUUGGUUCCACUCGGCGUGAUAAGUUAUCUAUCGCUGAGGACACUGUAAAAGGUGGCCAAGGUAAAUGCAGAUGAACCGCUUCUAAUAGUCCAUUGACUUGGACAAUACUUUUAUGAUCUGAUCUCAAAUCAGGUAGGACUACCCGCUGAACUUAAGC
Molecule: unclassified non-coding RNA, 378 nt
Filed under: plant metagenome
Description: partial contains 5.8S ribosomal RNA, internal transcribed spacer 2, and large subunit ribosomal RNA
Rfam family: 5.8S ribosomal RNA (bases 1-105)
Source: RNAcentral